RNAcentral lists this ribosomal RNA (895 nucleotides) under Morganella morganii. RNAcentral describes it as "partial 16S ribosomal RNA". The record is from RNAcentral. Lineage: Bacteria; Pseudomonadati; Pseudomonadota; Gammaproteobacteria; Enterobacterales; Morganellaceae.
AAAGGCCUCGUUCUUGCUACGACUUCCCCCAGUCAUGAAUCCACAGUGGUAAGCGCCCUCCCGGAGGUUAAGCUACCUACUUCUUUUGCAACCCACUCCCAUGGUGUGACGGGCGGUGUGUACAAGGCCCGGGAACGUAUUCACCGUAGCAUUCUGAUCUACGAUUACUAGCGAUUCCGACUUCAUGGAGUCGAGUUGCAGACUCCAAUCCGGACUACGACGUACUUUAUGAGUUCCGCUUGCCCUCGCAGGGUCGCUUCCCUUUGUAUACGCCAUUGUAGCACGUGUGUAGCCCUACUCGUAAGGGCCAUGAUGACUUGACGUCAUCCCCACCUUCCUCCGGUUUAUCACCGGCAGUCUCCUUUGAGUUCCCGCCAUCACGCGCUGGCAACAAAGGAUAAGGGUUGCGCUCGUUGCGGGACUUAACCCAACAUUUCACAACACGAGCUGACGACAGCCAUGCAGCACCUGUCUCAGAGUUCCCGAAGGCACCAAAGCAUCUCUGCUAAGUUCUCUGGAUGUCAAGAGUAGGUAAGGUUCUUCGCGUUGCAUCGAAUUAAACCACAUGCUCCACCGCUUGUGCGGGCCCCCGUCAAUUCAUUUGAGUUUUAACCUUGCGGCCGUACUCCCCAGGCGGUCGACUUAACGCGUUAGCUCCGGAAGCCACGCCUCAAGGGCACAACCUCCAAGUCGACAUCUUUUACAGCCCUGGACUACCAGUGGUAUCUUAAUCCUGGUUUGCUCCCCACGCUUUUCAAACCUGAUCCGUCUUUCUUUUGUUCAAGGGGGGCAGCCUUUCCCCACCUGGUAAUUCCUCCCACAUUCUCUAACACAUUUUCACCCGCAUACAACAUGGAAAUUUCUUACCCCCCCCUACAACUAAGGAUCUCAUAUC